UCCACACUUCAAGACUGAACUUUGUGAAAAGUGUACACUGAAACGUUCUUUUUCUCGGAAGUGACGUUAGACUUGCUGUUCUUUUUCGAAGUGUAGUUGUCCUAGGUCUGAAAUAGUUCUGAAUUCGCUGCCCCAGGUCUUUAGACAGUGCAAGAGUUCAGCCAUAAAAUUCUAGCGGAAAUUCUAGCGAAAAUGAAAAGUCUGCCGUACUACGCAUUUUGAUGAAGAACAAGAAAGAAGAACGAGAAAUUAUGGGUAUAUACAUAGAAACAAUAACACGAUGGCAGAAAAUCAAAAGGACAACAUUGGACAUAUUUCUAAGGAUGACACCGGUAAUAUAAUUAUCAACAAAGAGGGAUCCCAAACAGCACCGAGUCGACUAUUAGCCGACUGCAAGUCGGCAGAAAAAGUCAAAAGUCGACUUCAAAGUCAGACUGAAUGGCAACUUAAAGUCGACUAACAGCCGACAAAUGACUCGACUAUAGUCGACUGUCAGUCAC
RNAcentral lists this long non-coding RNA (500 nucleotides) under Harpegnathos saltator (Jerdon's jumping ant). Its description in RNAcentral is "uncharacterized LOC109504516, transcript variant X2". Lineage: Eukaryota; Metazoa; Arthropoda; Insecta; Hymenoptera; Formicidae. The record is from RNAcentral.